RNAcentral lists this ribozyme (116 nucleotides) under Aedes aegypti (yellow fever mosquito). RNAcentral describes it as "drz-agam-1 ribozyme". It matches the Rfam family "drz-agam-1 ribozyme". Lineage: Eukaryota; Metazoa; Arthropoda; Insecta; Diptera; Culicidae. The record is from Rfam by way of RNAcentral.
UUCCUAGCAACUCCUAUUCCUACCUCCUUGUGGUACUGACUGGGGUACGAGUAACCUUAGGGAAGAUCGGGUAACCAACCCCGGUGGGAACUUUGGUCGUAUGCUGACAGGAAAGG